UAGUCCACACCGUAAACGCUGUCUACUAGCUGUUUGUGAGUUUAACUCGUGAGUAGCGAAGCUAACGCGCUAAGUAGACCGCCUGGGGAGUACGGUCGCAAGAUUAAAACUCAAAUGAAUUGACGGGGGCCCGCACAAGCGGUGGAGCAUGUGGUUUAAUUCGAUGCAACGCGAAGAACCUUACCUACACUUGACAUUCAGCGAACUUACCAGAGAUGGUUUGGUGCCUUCGGGAACGCUGGGACAGGUGCUGCAUGGCUGUCGUCAGCUCGUGUCGUGAGAUGUUGGGUUAAGUCCUGCAACGAGCGCAACCCCUAUUCUUAGUUGCCAGCGGUUCGGCCGGGGACUCUAAGAAGACUGCCAGCGCAAGCUGAGAGGAAGGUGGGGGAUGGACGUCAAAUCAUCACGGGCCCUUACGUCCUGGGGCUACACACGUGCUACAAUGGUA
RNAcentral lists this ribosomal RNA (448 nucleotides) under uncultured bacterium. Its description in RNAcentral is "bacterial SSU rRNA". It matches the Rfam family "Bacterial small subunit ribosomal RNA", at positions 791 to 1235 of the family's 1533-position model. The record is from RNAcentral.